UGUUGGAUAUUCUGAGUAUGGUGAAGUAUGCAUGAAGGUUGUGAAUGGUCAACAAGAAAUUAGUUACUCCUUGUAGGAGAAGAAAAUAUUCUAUGUGAUCUCAUAGGAUGAUGACUCUGAGAGUCUCUGGCCGGAGCAGGGAUGAACAAUAAAAAAAAUUUCUACUGAUUCAUUAAUCGAGUCAUCAUUAUCAGAUUAAGAUACAUAUGGAUAGAUAUUUGAGCUUGACAUGAUUUCAUGUCCAUGAUUUGUCUGGGAUGUUGUG
RNAcentral lists this long non-coding RNA (265 nucleotides) under Elaeis guineensis (African oil palm). RNAcentral's name for it is "long non-coding RNA (EGUI_LNC048406)". The record is from RNAcentral. Lineage: Eukaryota; Viridiplantae; Streptophyta; Magnoliopsida; Arecales; Arecaceae.